GACGAACGCUGGCGGCGUGCUUAACACAUGCAAGUCGAACGGAAAGGCCCUGCUUUUGUGGGGUGCUCGAGUGGCGAACGGGUGAGUAACACGUGAGUAACCUGCCCUUGACUUUGGGAUAACUUCAGGAAACUGGGGCUAAUACCGAUAGGAGCUCCUGCUGCAUGGUGGGGGUUGGAAAGUUUCGGCGGUUGGGGAUGGACUCGCGGCUUAUCAGCUUGUUGGUGGGGUAGUGGCUUACCAAGGCUUUGACGGGUAGCCGGCCUGAGAGGGUGACCGGCCACAUUGGGACUGAGAUACGGCCCAGACUCCUACGGGAGGCAGCAGUGGGGAAUAUUGCACAAUGGGCGGAAGCCUGAUGCAGCAACGCCGCGUGCGGGAUGACGGCCUUCGGGUUGUAAACCGCUUUCGCCUGUGACGAAGCGUGAGUGACGGUAAUGGGUAAAGAAGCACCGGCUAACUACGUG
RNAcentral lists this ribosomal RNA (467 nucleotides) under uncultured bacterium. RNAcentral's name for it is "partial 16S ribosomal RNA". It matches the Rfam family "Bacterial small subunit ribosomal RNA", at positions 28 to 507 of the family's 1533-position model. The record is from RNAcentral.